ACUUCGAUUAUUUUUAAAUUUGUAUUUAUCCAUGCAUCGACUCAUUGGCUUAUCAGCCAUAUGUUAAUUGAUUAUUGUUUAUUGAUGAGCUUGCUAUAUAAUAAGAUAAAGUUUGCUGUAUGUUCCACAAAGAUAAUUGCCCAAUAAUAAAGAAUUAGUAAUGAUUUAGUAGUAUUUCAAGUUUCAUAUUGUAAUGCCAAAAGUGAAAUAAUCUGUUUUCUUAUUAAAUGUGAAAAAUGGAAAAAGCAUCGAAAAACAGGAAUAAACGUAGAAAAUACGGGAAAAUCGGUACAAUACUAAACAAAUAUUAUUAAAGAAAAUAUAAAACGCCUAUAAAAUAUCGAAUC
Cinara cedri is the source of this 347-nucleotide non-coding RNA. Lineage: Eukaryota; Metazoa; Arthropoda; Insecta; Hemiptera; Aphididae. The record is from the annotation of a GenBank genome assembly.